AUUGAACGCUGGCGGCAUGCCUUACACAUGCAAGUCGAACGGUAACGCGGGGCAACCUGGCGACGAGUGGCGAACGGGUGAGUAAUAUAUCGGAACGCGCCCAGUAGUGGGGGAUAGCCCGGCGAAAGCGGAUUAAUACCGCAUGAGACCUGAGGGUGAAAGCGGGGGAGUCGCAAGACCUCGCGCUAUUGGAGCGGCCGAUAUCAGAUUAGCUAGUUGGUGGGGUAAAGGCCCACCCAAGGCAACGAUCUGUAGUUGGUCUGAGAGGACGACCAGCCACACUGGGACUGAGACACGGCCCAGACUCCUACGGGAGGCAGCAGUGGGGGAAUUUUGGACAAUGGGCGCAAGCCUGAUCCAGCAAUGCCGCGUGCAGGAAGAAGGCCUUCGGUU
RNAcentral lists this ribosomal RNA (393 nucleotides) under uncultured bacterium. RNAcentral's name for it is "bacterial SSU rRNA". It matches the Rfam family "Bacterial small subunit ribosomal RNA", at positions 29 to 423 of the family's 1533-position model. The record is from RNAcentral.